Molecule: ribosomal RNA, 528 nt
Filed under: uncultured bacterium
Lineage: Bacteria
Description: partial 16S ribosomal RNA
Rfam family: Bacterial small subunit ribosomal RNA
Source: RNAcentral
UGGGGAAUAUUGGACAAUGGGGGCAACCCUGAUCCAGCAAUGCCGCGUGUGUGAAGAAGGUUUUCGGAUUGUAAAGCACUUUCGGCGGGGACGAUGAUGACGGUACCCGCAGAAGAAGCCCCGGCUAACUUCGUGCCAGCAGCCGCGGUAAUACGAAGGGGGCUAGCGUUGCUCGGAAUGACUGGGCGUAAAGGGCGUGUAGGCGGUUUGUACAGUCAGAUGUGAAAUCCCCGGGCUUAACCUGGGAGCUGCAUUUGAUACGUGUAGACUAGAGUGUGAGAGAGGGUUGUGGAAUUCCCAGUGUAGAGGUGAAAUUCGUAGAUAUUGGGAAGAACACCGGUGGCGAAGGCGGCAACCUGGCUCAUAACUGACGCUGAGGCGCGAAAGCGUGGGGAGCAAACAGGAUUAGAUACCCUGGUAGUCCACGCUGUAAACGAUGUGUGCUAGAUGUUGGGUAACUUAGUUAUUCAGUGUCGCAGUUAACGCGUUAAGCACACCGCCUGGGGAGUACGGCCGCAAGGUUGAAAC